CACGUAGGAGGCAAGCGUUAUCCGGAUUUACUGGGCGUAAAGCGCGUGUAGGCGGUUCGGUAAGUUGGAUGUGAAAUCUCCUGGCUCAACUAGGAGAGGUCGUUCAAUACUGCCAGACUAGAGGACGGUAGAGGAAGGUAGAAUUCCCGGUGUAGUGGUGAAAUGCGUAGAUAUCGGGAGGAAUACCAGUGGCGAAGGCAGGUCUCUGGGCCAUAACUGACGCUGAGAAGCGAAAGCAUGGGGAGCGAACAGG
RNAcentral lists this ribosomal RNA (253 nucleotides) under uncultured bacterium. Its description in RNAcentral is "partial 16S ribosomal RNA". It matches the Rfam family "Bacterial small subunit ribosomal RNA", at positions 524 to 776 of the family's 1533-position model. The record is from RNAcentral.